Molecule: ribosomal RNA, 468 nt
Filed under: uncultured bacterium
Lineage: Bacteria
Description: partial 16S ribosomal RNA
Rfam family: Bacterial small subunit ribosomal RNA
Source: RNAcentral
GACGAACGCUGGCGGCGUGCUUAACACAUGCAAGUCGAACGGAAAGGCUCUGCUUUUGUGGGGUGCUCGAGUGGCGAACGGGUGAGUAACACGUGAGUAACCUGCCCUUGACUUUGGGAUAACUUCAGGAAACUGGGGCUAAUACCGGAUAGGAGCUCCUGCUGCAUGGUGGGGGUUGGAAAGUUUCGGCGGUUGGGGAUGGACUCGCGGCUUAUCAGCUUGUUGGUGGGGUAGUGGCUUACCAAGGCUUUGACGGGUAGCCGGCCUGAGAGGGUGACCGGCCACAUGGGGACUGAGAUACGGCCCAGACUCCUACGGGAGGCAGCAGUGGGGAAUAUUGCACAAUGGGCGGAAGCCUGAUGCAGCAACGCCGCGUGCGGGAUGACGGCCUUCGGGUUGUAAACCGCUUUCGCCUGUGACGAAGCGUGAGUGACGGUAAUGGGUAAAGAAGCACCGGCUAACUACGUG